RNAcentral lists this ribosomal RNA (2674 nucleotides) under human gut metagenome. Its description in RNAcentral is "bacterial LSU rRNA". It matches the Rfam family "Bacterial large subunit ribosomal RNA". The record is from RNAcentral.
AGGGCGUAUGGUGGAUGCCUAGGCUCUCAGAGGCGAAGAAGGACGUGAUAAGCUGCGAAAAGCUCCGUUUAGGUGCAAAUAACCUUUGAUGCGGAGAUCUCCGAAUGGGAUAACCCAAUAUGUUGAAGACAUAUUAUACCGUAAGGUAGGCAAACGCAGGGAACUGAAACAUCUAAGUACCUGCAGGAGAAGAAAACAAACGUGAUUCCCCCAGUAGCGGCGAGCGACCGGGGAUAAGCCCAAACCGUUAUUGUUUCGGCAGUAGCGGGGUAGUAGGACUGCGACAUUGAUGAAAUAAAUGAAAUGGAACACCUUGGAAAAUGUGAUCACAGAGGGUGAUAAUCCCGUACAUGCAAGUUUAUGAAUCAUAGCAGACUCCUGAGUAAGUCGGGACACGUGUAAUCCUGACCGAAUCCGCCGGGACCAUCCGGCAAGGCUAAAUACUCCUGAGAGACCGAUAGUGAACCAGUACCGUGAGGGAAAGGUGAAAAGCACUUCGAACAGAAGAGUGAAAUAGUCCCUGAACCCAUACGCCUACAAGCAGUCGGAGCCGCUUCGUGCGGUGACGGCGUGCCUUUUGCAUAAUGAGCCUACGAGUUACUCAUCACCAGCGAGGUUAAGUACUUCAGGUACGUAAGCCGAAGCGAAAGCGAGUCUGAAUAGGGCGUCAAGUUGGUGGUGGUAGACGCGAAACCUUAGUGAUCUACCCAUGGGCAGGGUGAAGGUUUGGUAACACAAACUGGAGGCCCGAACCGGUAAACGUUGAAAAGUUUUCGGAUGACCUGUGGGUAGGGGUGAAAGGCCAAUCAAACUGGGAAAUAGCUCGUACUCUCCGAAAUGCAUUUAGGUGCAGCCUCUGUUGUUUUGUUCUAGAGGUAGAGCUACUGAUUGGAUGCGAGGGCUUCACCGCCUAUCAAAUCCGGCCAAACUCCGAAUGCUAGAACAUAAAGACAGGGAGUGAGCCAGCGGGUGCUAAGGUCCGUUGACGAAAGAGGGAGAACUCAGACCAUCAGCUAAGGUCCCCAAUUGUAUGCUAAGUUGGAAUUAAAACGGGGUGGGACUGCUUAGACAGCUAGGAUGUUGGCUUGGAAGCAGCCAUUCAUUUAAAGAGUGCGUAACAGCUCACUAGUCGAGCGGUCCUGCAUGGAUAAUACGCGGGCAUAAGCAUAUAACCGAAGCUAUGGGAUUGUAGAUGAUACAAUCGGUAGGAGAGCAUUCCAUUCAGCGUAGAAGCAGUAUCGUGAGGUAUUGUGGAGCGGAUGGAAAAGCAAAUGUAGGCAUAAGUAACGAUAAUGCGGGUGAGAACCCCGCACGCCGAAAGAUCAAGGAUUCCCCGGCAAUGUCAAUCAUCCGGGGGUAAGUCGGAUCCUAAGGGUAAGCCGAGUGGCGAUCCCGAUGGCAAACAGGUUAAUAUUCCUGUACUGAUCAUAACUGCGAUGCAGCGACGCAGAGGUGACACUGCUGCGUACUGACGGAAUAGUACGUUGAAACCCGUAUUCUUUGAUACCGGUAGUGAAGCACGCCGGUAGAGAUGAAAGGUGAUAGUACCGCAAUGCUUCGGUUGCGCGGAUAAUGCAGGUAAGCUGACUGCCAAGAAAACCUGCUAAGCUUCAGGUAAUGAUCAUCCGUACUGUAAACGGACACACGUGAUCAGGUAGAAAAUACUAAGGCGCUCGAGAGAUUCAUGGUUAAGGAACUAGGCAAAAUGGUCCUGUAACUUCGGGAUAAAGGACGCUCUUGUGAAAGAGCCGCAGAUAAUAGGCCCAGGCGACUGUUUACCAAAAACACAUGGCUAUGCUAAUUCGCAAGAAGAUGUAUAUGGCCUGACACCUGCCCGGUGCCGGAAGGUUAAGAGGAGAGCUCAGAGGCAACUCGAAGGUUUGAAUUGAAGCCCCGGUAAACGGCGGCCGUAACUAUAACGGUCCUAAGGUAGCGAAAUUCCUUGUCGGGUAAGUUCCGACCUGCACGAAUGGUGUAACGAUCUGGGUACUGUCUCAACCAUGAGCUCGGUGAAAUUGUAGUUCCGGUGAAGAUGCCGGAUACCCGCAACGGGACGGAAAGACCCCGUGAACCUUUACUGCAGCUUUGCAUUGAUUUUGGGUAACAGAUGUGUAGGAUAGGUCGGAGGCUUUGAUGCUGCGUCGUCAGGCGUAGAGUAGCCGUCGUUGAAAUACGACCCUUUUGUUAUCUGAGGUCUAAUCCCGUUAGGGAGACAUUGCAUGGUGGGUAGUUUGACGGAAGACGUCUCGUUGAUUCCUUAUCUGGGUCUGAGUAUGCGCGUCGGCUUCGCCGGCAAGGUGAAGUCCGUAUCGGCAAAGGCCGAUACGUUCGGCGACGGGGGAUUCGACCGUUUCGAUAUGGGCGUCCGCGCCGGCAUCGGGGUGGAGUACCGUCGUUAUUCGUUCCGUUUCGGUUACGAUGCGGGAUUCCUCAAUCUCUCCGAUGUGUCGGACGUCACGGUUCGCAACAAGACGUUCCAGCUGCAAUUGGGCUACCGCUUCUGAUCGUAGCCCGAUCGCAAUUCAUCGCUUCCCCUGCCGUUGCGGCGGGGGAAGGUCGUUUUAGGAAGGCUCGCUUUCCGGGCGGUCGGAUUUCCGCGCUCCGUUUCGCUGCGUCCGGAACGAGGGUUUCGGCCCGGGUCGUCGGAUUCCGGUACAGCCAUUCGGAGAAGGAA